UAGCAUUUGUACCAUCUCCUAAAUCCCAUUCUUUUAAUAAAUUUUGCAGCCAAGUUAGGAAGGAUCUACUGUAAGUAGAAAAUUUUCUUGCUAACCACACAGUAAAUGUUGCCAGUCUCUGGUAUAUUUCGGAGAUGCAUCUGUGUCUGUGAUCUCGCCCCAGGCUGUACACAUUUGGAACUGAAACACUUACUCUGUGUCACAAUAAUGUGCUUAUGGACCAUGUAAAAACAACAAAUAUUAAAACAUUUUCAAGUCUUCUACAACAAAUUAAUUGAUGCAUAAGGAGGGGAAAAUACAAGCUCUCUCUAGGAAGAAGUGUCUGGAUAAAACAUCUAUAAGGGAAAAUGUAUCUGGAAGGUGGCUUUUGAGCAAUAUUCCUGCCCAUUGCUGGAUGUUCCUGUGAGAACAAGAUGCCAUCUUGUGGUUGGAUUUUCUUCUCCCAAACCCGAGCUUGCUUUUCCGAGAAACUAGUUCAACUGUCCUGACAGCUUGAGAAAGCAAAAUAAUUAAACCUGCAUUUUUGGAUUUAAUUAUGAACUCAAGUGCUCAACUAAGACCUACAGACUUUUACAAUAAAACCUGGACAGUUUCAAGCUGGCAUGCCCAAGGAAAACAGCUUGCUCUGAAUGCACAUUAAGGGUUGGCCAGUGUAUGUGUAAAGCAGAGGUGCUACAGCACCAUUUCAUAGCCAACGAGCAUCAGGACCAGAGAAGAAAGCAGAGGACAUGAUGGCAGUUCCAUUUCUCUUGGGUGCAUCCUCAUCCAUGUCAGCCAAGGCACAGCCACCGGCGCUCUGGGCUUUGCUCAGACAUGCCACAUGAAAAGCCCUCACCAAGCCCUUUCCCAGCUCACUGCUUUUCGUGAGAAGCAGCCUUUUCCCUCAGCUGACACAGAUACGUGGACAUAUCUCCAACAGGGUGGGUGCAAAGUCUCUCCAAAGACAGACCUGCCUUGCGGCAGGUGUCCCCAGGCCAUGCCUGGAGUUCUUCUCAUGCUGUGACAUCUUCAGUCCUUCCUUGGCUGGUCAUGCAGAGCUGUGAGUGCAGGCCUUGGUCCCUGGUGGUCUCUAACAGGUUAAGCCCCUGUCCUGGUUCAGGGAAAAUUUGGGAGAGAACCCCAAAAUGGGUUCUUCUACAAAGCAGAGUCGGUCAGCCUCUCCCCUAGC
Molecule: long non-coding RNA, 1168 nt
Filed under: Taeniopygia guttata (zebra finch)
Lineage: Eukaryota; Metazoa; Chordata; Aves; Passeriformes; Estrildidae
Description: lncRNA (ENSTGUG00000025724.1)
Source: RNAcentral